GAGACGCGGCCGCGUGAGGACGAGGCGAUUUGAAAACACGCUUCGGGAGCGAGAGGCUGAGGCCGGUGGCGCCCGCCGUUGCCCACUGGGCUCUUCCUCGCACGUUCUUCCCCUCUGCCUCCGCGCCCGGGUCCCGGCCGGGUCCGCAGUACUCAAGAAUGACCAAAAAAAGAAAACGCCAAGAUGAUUUUCAGAAAGUAAAACUAAAAGUUGGUAAGAAGAAGCCCAGGUCAGAAAAUUCUACUCUUACAAACUUUAAAACGAAGACUAUACAUCUGCCUGAGCAGCUCAAAGAGGAUGUAACACUUCCAACAAACAAUAGAAAACUUAACAUAAAGGAUUUGCUGUCACAGAUGCAUCACUACAAUGCUGGGGUUAAACAAAGUGCUCUUCUUGGACUUAAAGACCUUUUGUCUCAAUACCCAUAUAUAAUUGAUGCACACCUCUCAAACAUAUUAAGUGAAGUGACUGCUGUGUUUACAGAUAAAGAUGCUAAUGUACGAUUAGCAGCAGUUCAACUUCUUCAAUUCCUGGCCCCCAAAAUACGAGCUGAACAAAUUUCUCCAUUUUUUCCUUUGGUAAGUGCCCAUCUCUCUAGUGCCAUGACUCACAUUACUGAAGGAAUUCAGGAGGACUCUUUAAAAGUUUUGGACAUUCUGCUGGAACAGUACCCAGCUCUGAUUACUGACCGUAGCAGUAUAUUGCUUAAGAAUUUUGUAGAACUUAUUUCUCAUCAGCAGCCGUCCAAAGGACUGGUAAAUAGAGACAGAUCCCAGUCCUGGAUACUUUCUGUAAAUCCUAAUCGGAGACUCACUUCUCAGCAGUGGAGGCUGAAAGUCUUAGUGAGACUCAGUAAAUUCCUUCAGGCCUUGACAGAUGGAUCCAGUAGGUUGAGAGAAAGUGAAGGACUUCAGGAACAAAAAGAAAAUCCCCAUGCCACUAGCAACUCCAUUUUUAUCAACUGGAAGGAACAUGCCAACGACCAGCAACACAUCCAGGUUUAUGAAAAUGGGGGUUCACAGCCAAAUGUCAGUUCACAGUUCAGGCUACGGUAUCUGGUUGGAGGACUAGGCACUGUGGAUGAAGGCCUGUCGUCUACUGAAAACUUGAAAGGAUUUAUUGAGAUAAUAAUUCCAUUGCUAAUUGAGUGCUGGAUUGAAGCUGUGCCUCCACAACUAAUGGCUUCUGUUGGAAAUGGUAUAGAACGAGAACCUCUGCAGGUUAUGCAGCAAGUUCUUAAUAUUAUUUCCCUUUUGUGGAAACUCUCUAAACAACAUGAUGAAACUCAUAAAUUGGAGUCAUGGCUUCGAAAGAAUUACCUUAUUGAUUUCAAACACCAUUUUAUGAAUAAUUUUCCAUAUGCCUUAAAAGAAAUAACCAAGCAAAAAAGGAAAGAGACAAAUAAAAGCAUCAAGCAUUGCACGAUUCUCUCGAAUAAUGUAGAUCAUCUUUUACUGAAUUUAACACUGUCUGAUAUCAUGGUCUCCCUGGCAAAUGCCUCAACUUUGCAGAAGGAUUCCAGUUGGAUAGAAAGGAUAAGGAAAUUUGUAACAGAAACCCUUGAAGAUGGCUCUAGGCUAAAUAGUAAGCAGCUGAACAGAUUGCUUGGAGUCUCCUGGAGGUUAAUGCAGAUACAGCCAAACAGAGAGGCGACAGAGUCUCUCAUAAAGGCAGUUUAUACAUUGUAUCAGCAAAGAGGCCUGCUCAUUCCAGUUCGGACUUUGUUACUGAAGUUUUUCAGUAAAAUCUAUCAAAAAGAAGAACUGAGAUCUUACAGAAUCCGAUACCGUAGUAAAGUGUUAUCACGUUGGUUGGCUGGUUUACCACUGCAGCUUGCUCAUCUCGGCUCCCGAAACCCUGAACUUUCAACACAGCUUAUUGACAUUAUCCAUACUGCUGCAGCCCGAGCAAAUAAAGAGCUGCUCAGAAGUUUACAAGUUACUGCUCUCCGAAUCUAUGAUCCACAAGAAGGCGCUGUGGUGGUUCUCCCAGCAGAGUCUCAGCAGCUUUUGGUCCAGCUUGUGUAUUUUCUACCCAGUCUGCCUGCUGACUUGCUUUCUCGGUUAAGUCGCUGCUGUAUCAUGGGAAGACUCAGUGCAGAUUUGGCUGCCAUGCUCAUCGGGAUACUGCACAUGAGAUCAUCAUUUUCUGGAUGGAAGUCUUCAGUGAAAGAACAGAAUGGAAGUGUACCAUUAAACAUCAGUAAUGCGGACUAUUUCAGCUUCUUAUUUUCAACACUUACAGGGUUUUCAAAAGAGGAACUGACUUGGCUUCAGAGCCUUCGAGGAGUGCCUCACGUCAUCCAGACGCAGCUUUCUCCUGUGCUGCUUUACCUCACUGACUUGGAUCAGUUUUUACACCAUUGGGACGUAACAGAGACAGUUUGUCACAAUUUAUUGGUUGUCCCUGUCCGAAGCCAAAGCUUUGACGUCCUGCAGACUGCCAUCAGUAAGCAUUUGGUUGGAUUGACUGUAAUUCCUGACAGCACGGCUGGCUGUGUUUUGGGUGUUAUCUGUAAGCUCCUGGAUCAUACGUGUGUACUUAGUGAAACUCUACUGCCGUUUCUGGCUUCUUGUUGCUACAGUCUGCUUUAUUUUCUGCUUACUUUAGAGAAAGGAGAAGCAGAACAUCUAAGAAAAAGGGACAAGCUCUGGGGGGUCUGUGUCUCCGUCCUGGCCCUCUUGCCUCGAGUCCUCAGGUUGAUGCUGCAGAGCCUGCGGGUGAACAGAGCUGGGCCUGAGGAGCUGCCUGUAGUGGGCCAGCUGCUCCGCCUGUUGCUGCAGCAUGCACCCCUCAGGACCCACAUGUUGACCAACGCCAUCUUGGUGCAGCAGAUCAUCAAGAAUAUCACAACACUGAAGAGCGGAGGUGUGCAGGAGCAGUGGCUUACAGACUUACAUUAUUGCUUCAACGUGUACAUCACUGGGCAUCCCCAGGGCCCCAACGCAUUGAAUACAGUGUAUUGAAAAGGCACUGCAGUACCUCUGUUGGAAACUGUUUAUUCACAUCUAAUUUUGAAGAGAGACUGAUGUCAUAAAUGUUUGUCAUUAAAGCUGAACUUUUAAAGAAGCUGUUUAUGAACCUUUCCUUUGCACUGAAACAGGAAAAUAAUGCUUGGGAGUUGCCACUGAUGCACAGGCUGGCUUCUUGGAUUAGCGUGUGAUGUGUGAUGUUCUUCAAGAGCUGGAAUGCACAGUUCGUACAGUGCCAGAGGAAAGGCAAUUUGACAAGAUGGCUCACCUCUGCAGGUCACGCAGAAAAUAGAAGUAG
Molecule: RNA transcript, 3270 nt
Organism: Budorcas taxicolor (takin)
Lineage: Eukaryota; Metazoa; Chordata; Mammalia; Artiodactyla; Bovidae
Gene: TEX10
Gene name: testis expressed 10
Exons: 16
Source: RefSeq, a predicted model, not a curated record